RNAcentral lists this ribosomal RNA (460 nucleotides) under uncultured bacterium. RNAcentral's name for it is "partial 16S ribosomal RNA". It matches the Rfam family "Bacterial small subunit ribosomal RNA", at positions 338 to 795 of the family's 1533-position model. The record is from RNAcentral.
CCUACGGGAGGCAGCAGUGAGGAAUAUUGGUCAAUGGACGAGAGUCUGAACCAGCCAAGUAGCGUGAAGGAUGACUGCCCUAUGGGUUGUAAACUUCUUUUAUAUGGGAAUAAAAUGUUCCACGUGUGGGAUUUUGUAUGUACCAUAUGAAUAAGGAUCGGCUAACUCCGUGCCAGCAGCCGCGGUAAUACGGAGGAUCCGAGCGUUAUCAGGAUUUAUUGGGUUUAAAGGGAGCGUAGGUGGAUUGUUAAGUCAGUUGGGAAAGUUUGCGGGUCAACCGUAAAAUUGCAGUUGAAACUGGCAGUCUUGAGUACAGUAGAGGUGGGCUGAAUUCGUGGUGGAGCGGUGAAAUGCUUAGAUAUCACGAAGAACUCCGAUUGCGAAGGCAGCUCACUGGACUGCAACUGACACUGAGGCUCGAAAGUGUGGGUAUCAAACAGGAUUAGAUACCCGAGUAGUC